GGGGAAUUGUUCGCAAUGGGCGCAAGCCUGACGACGCAACGCCGCGUGGAGGACGAAGAUCUUCGGGUCGUAAACUCCUGUCGAGUGGGAAGAAUGGAUCGAGGGUGAAUAAUCCUCGGUAUUGACGGUACCACUAAAGGAAGCCCCGGCUAACUCCGUGCCAGCAGCCGCGGUAAUACGAAGGUGGCAAGCGUUGUUCGGAUUCACUGGGCGUACAGGGUGUGUAGGCGGUUUGGUAAGCCUUCUGUUAAAGCUUCGGGCCCAACCCGGAAAGCGCAGAGGGUACUGCCAGGCUAGAGGGCGGGAGAGGAGCGCGGAAUUCCCGGUGUAGCGGUGAAAUGCGUAGAGAUCGGGAGGAAGGCCGGUGGCGAAGGCGGCGCUCUGGAACGUACCUGACGCUGAGACACGAAAGCGUGGGGAGCAAAC
This 426-nucleotide ribosomal RNA is filed under the name uncultured bacterium. RNAcentral's name for it is "bacterial SSU rRNA". It matches the Rfam family "Bacterial small subunit ribosomal RNA", at positions 356 to 773 of the family's 1533-position model. The record is from RNAcentral.